Molecule: transfer RNA, 73 nt
Filed under: Felis catus (domestic cat)
Lineage: Eukaryota; Metazoa; Chordata; Mammalia; Carnivora; Felidae
Also listed under: 1 other name
Rfam family: tRNA
About the family: Transfer RNA (tRNA) molecules are approximately 80 nucleotides in length.
Source: Rfam by way of RNAcentral
ACCGGACUGGCUCAGUUGGAAGAGCAUGUGACUCUUGAUCUCAGGAUUGUAGGUUUGAGCCCCAUGUGGGGUG